GAGUUCGCCGGGGCAAAGCUCAAAGUGACUAAGAAUCCUGGCGAGACUCCGGUAAUGCACGUUCCUCGAAAGAAGAGCGUCAAGUCCAAGAGCUCAAAAGAAGAGGAUGAUUCCCUCGAGAUUGACCCUGAGCUCCGCUACAGUUUCCAACGCAAUUACCAGUUUCUUCAACGAGUAUUUAGCAUUGAUACGAUUGUGAAACCUCUUCCAC
RNAcentral lists this unclassified non-coding RNA (211 nucleotides) under Hevea brasiliensis (rubber tree). The record is from RNAcentral. Lineage: Eukaryota; Viridiplantae; Streptophyta; Magnoliopsida; Malpighiales; Euphorbiaceae.